Lolium rigidum is the source of this 681-nucleotide long non-coding RNA. RefSeq lists it as uncharacterized. NCBI's taxonomy places the organism in Eukaryota, Viridiplantae, Streptophyta, Magnoliopsida, Poales, Poaceae. The transcript has 3 exons. The record is from RefSeq and is a predicted model, not a curated record.
GUGUUGUAUGCAGAAAAAUGAUUUGAUUAUUUGUAUUUUUGAAGAAACAGAAAUCUUGGUUGUUGGAAUUCUAUGAAAAAGAUAAACUAUGUUAUAUUUGUCGUGACUUAAAUCACCAUAAAGUGACAUAGAUGGAUGACAAAAAAAAAUGGGUCCUUGAUUUUGCCAAUUACGUCAGUGAGCUACUCCUCUUUGCUGCGCAUAUGCAUAUUGGUAUGUUAGUGUUACUUUGCGAAUGUAAACGCAAGGUUUUGCAGAAUACAUUACCGUUGAUCUGGUGAGGCCCAACCAUAGCAAGAAGGGUCAAAGAAAGCCAAACAAUAGUCUUUGGUGCGUGCCUGCAAUCGUUUGGCCUACAGUUCCUGAAAUGAACAAUGGUUGGACAUAGAUUAGUCAUAACAAGCGAAGUAUGGCUGCAAUUGUCCAUGAAGCACUCCAGCUCCCUGUCACCUUGUUGAAGUGCCCGCACAAGAUCUGGACAUGCUCUCAUAUUGCCCCAGGUUAUACUGAUGGGUCAUCGUGGAGAUUAUGACUAGGCUGCCGAUGGGCAACUUCAUCGUGAACAAAGACUCUGGGACGGGGAAAUUUAGGGGACUGCUCCAGGUGUUGAUUCUGCAAGACAGCAAGCCACCUUAGUGCCAGUCACUUGCUAUGUAUUGCGAACUGUGCGGUUAAGAAAAU